CCCCUCCCCCCAAGUGCUCACGGGCAGGCCAUUUAAGCCACUGAACUUGAGUUUUCAGUUCCUGAAAGGAAAAGAGGGAGCUGCGAGCUUGCGGCCAGUUCUCAAAUCUCGGUCUCCGACCCCUCUAGAGAAGUCUUGCAUUAGGACAAAGAAAAUCAUCAAAGCCAAAGCAGCUGACAGAAAGCAUCUGCAACAAUCCAUAACCAUGGACAACACUUCUUCAGCAAAAGGAAGGGGAAGCAGCUCCUCACCCUUGCUUCAGAACUGAACAGAAGAACAAAAACAUUCCCAUUCAAGACCUCGGUGACCCUGGAUCUGUCAUUUCAAUUUUCUGGAUCUGUUUCCUCACCUUUAAAAUGAGGAUAAUGAUGCCCCUGGUGCCCACUUCACAGGAUUCUUGUGAGUAGGAAAUAAUGUAUGUAAUGAGCUUUACAAACCUCAGGAAAAAAUUCUUUAUAAAUGUCAACUUCUCCCUUGCCUGUAAUGUAGACUCCUCGAGGGCAGUGUGUGUGUGUGUGUGUGUGUGUGUGUGUGUGUGUGUGUGUGUGUGUGUGUGCAUAUUCCUAGCUCUCAGCAUAGGAGGUGGGUACAAUAUUUUUUUUUGGCAGCUACUUGCUAUUAGUUUCAUGAUAGGAACUCAAGGAGAGGAGACUCCUUCUUAGGUAUAUCUGCAACUUGUUGUCUUAGAUUUAAGUGACUCACCCAGAGUCUCACAAGUAUGUGUCAGAAUCAGAAUUUGAACCCAGAUCUUCCUGCCUCCAAUGGUCAGUUUUCUAUCAGUUGAACUAUGUUCUCUCUCAUCUUGUACAUAUAUGUUUCCCAAGUUGAAUUGAAUUGACUCCAUGAUUCAUGAGGUUUGUCUCCCCGAAAGCAAUUCCACUAACUAGUGUGAGUUUGUCUUCAAUGGAUGAUUUGAUGUUCCCAUUAAGGCAGACCCAGUGAAUGCCAGACAGGGAGGGCAUCUCCCAGAUUUUAUUUUGAACGAAAGAAGUAUCUGUCCCAGUGAGUUACAUGUUUUUCAUCUUCACUUUUGAAACGCAAAUUGUAAGUAUCCCUUCCACAUCACUCCUUUCCUUGUUGUUAUUUUUAAUAUCUCUGCAUAAGAAAUUAAAUGAUAAUUUUUUUAAACCCUUAACUUCUGUCUUAGAAUCAAUACUGUGUAUUGGUUCCAAGGCAGAAGAGUGCAAUGGGGUUUAAGUGACUUUCCCAGGGUCACAUAUCUAGGAAGUGUUUGAAGUUAGAUUUGAACCCAGGACCUCCCAUCUCUAGGCCUGGCUCUCAAUCCACUGAGCCGUCCAGCUGCCUCCAUAAAUGAGAAUUUUGAAGGAGUUUUGCAGAAGCCACUGAUGACACAUGAAGGCCAGCAGAUGGCACAGAGAAAGUUUAGAAACUCAGAAAUUCAUAAAAUAUAUGUGUAGUACUGCAUAUUAAGAGUUUACCCUUUAAUACCACAAAUAUACACAAUUCCUUUUGCUGUAAACACUCCAUAAGGGGGCAUUUGGGUAGCUCAGUGGAUUGAGGGGAGGUCCUGGGUUCAAAUCUGGCCUCAGACACUUUCCAGCUGUGUGACCCUGGGCAAGUCCCUUGAUCCCUGUUGCCUAGCCCUUACCACUUUUCUGCCUUGGAACCAGUAUGCAAUAUUGAUUCCAAGAUGGAAGGUGAGGGUUUAAAAAAAAAAACACUCCAUAAAAGAAAAAAGGAAAAAUUCAGACUUCUCCUCUGGUACCGAGUUGGUUCCUUGCCCCUGUGAUGUGGAAGGGAUAUCUCAAAAAAUUGAUUGUUGAUUUGGCACUAACAGCCAUGAUGCAAUGAGCUACACUGAGGAGGGAUGAAGGAGUUGGAUGGUAGUCAUGGAAACAGAAAAAAUAAAUAAAAGAAAAAAAUUAGUGGAGAGGGGGCAUCUUUAAGAGUGAUGAGGAAAUUAGUUCAGAAGCACAUCAAUGAUGGCUGACUGGCUAUAAAUGUUUUAUUGGGGCCAGAAUUCUGCUGAGGAAUUGCCGAGUAAUACAGCCAAUCAUGUUCAUUUUAAUACCAAACAGCUCCAAGU
Monodelphis domestica (gray short-tailed opossum) is the source of this 2047-nucleotide long non-coding RNA. RefSeq lists it as uncharacterized. The record is from RefSeq and is a predicted model, not a curated record. NCBI's taxonomy places the organism in Eukaryota, Metazoa, Chordata, Mammalia, Didelphimorphia, Didelphidae.